CUGAUCUCAAAUCAGGUAGGACUACCCGCUGAACUUAAGCAUAUCAAUAAGCGGAGGAAAAGAAACUAACAAGGAUUCCCCUAGUAACUGCGAGUGAAGCGGGAAAAGCUCAAAUUUAAAAUCUGGCAGUCUUUGAUUGUCCGAGUUGUAUUCUAGAGAAGUGUUUUCCGCGUUGGACCGUGUACAAGUCUCUUGGAACAGAGCGUCAUAGAGGGUGAGAAUCCCGUCUUUGACACGGACUACCAAUGCUUUGUGAUGCGCUCUCAAAGAGUCGAGUUGUUUGGGAAUGCAGCUCAAAAUGGGUGGUAAAUUCCAUCUAAAGCUAAAUAUUGGCGAGAGACCGAUAGCGAACAAGUACCGUGAGGGAAAGAUGAAAAGCACUUUGGAAAGAGAGUUAAACAGUACGUGAAAUUGUUGAAAGGGAAACGCUUGAAGUCAGUCGCGUUAGUCAGAACUCAGCCUUGCUUUUGCUUGGUGCACUUUCUGAUUGACGGGCCAGCAUCAGUUUUGACUGCAGGAGAAAGGUCAGAGGAAUGUGGCAUCUUCGGAUGUGUUAUAGCCUCUGAUUGUAUACUGUGAUUGGGACUGAGGAACUCAGCACGCGCAAGCUGUGCUUAGGAUGCUGGCGUAAUGGCUUUAAACGACCCGUCUUGAAACACGGACCAAGGAGUCUAACAUGCCUGCGAGUAUUUGGGUGGUAAACCCGAGUGCGCAAUGAAAGUGAAAGUUGGGAUCUCUGUCGUGGAGAGCACCGACGCCCGGACCAGACCUUCUGUGACGGAUCUGCGGUAGAGCAUGUAUGUUGGGACCCGAAAGAUGGUGAACUAUGCCUGAAUAGGGUGAAGCCAGAGGAAACUCUGGUGGAGGCUCGUAGCGAUUCUGACGUGCAAAUCGAUCGUCAAAUUUGGGUAUAGGGGCGAAAGACUAAUCGAACCAUCUAGUAGCUGGUUCCUGC
RNAcentral lists this ribosomal RNA (955 nucleotides) under Ceriporia purpurea. RNAcentral describes it as "eukaryotic LSU rRNA". It matches the Rfam family "Eukaryotic large subunit ribosomal RNA", at positions 1 to 961 of the family's 3401-position model. Lineage: Eukaryota; Fungi; Basidiomycota; Agaricomycetes; Polyporales; Irpicaceae. The record is from RNAcentral.